UUUGGAUGCAUUUCUGCCAGAGCAACUGCCUUUUCCUUAUAUUCAAAUGAAAUAAAUUCAUAAUCGCAAAAAGACUGCAAUUCCUCUGGGAUGAACUCGGCACUCUCUUUACUUGUAUAUUCAUCCUUACACUAUGAACAAAGAAAUUACAUUGUUACGAUUCUCUUUUAUGCCACGUUCACUGACUUACAAGUUAAUAAAUAAAAAUCCAAAAGACACGAUCAUUAGCAAAACAUUUAAAACAUACCUGUUCAUAUUCUUUCCAUUUGUCAACAGUAAUGUCAUCGGCAACUAUAAGAUCUUCGUCUGUUAUAAUUUUUUGAUCUUCCAGCAUGAACUUGAU
RNAcentral lists this long non-coding RNA (343 nucleotides) under Androctonus crassicauda. The record is from RNAcentral. Lineage: Eukaryota; Metazoa; Arthropoda; Arachnida; Scorpiones; Buthidae.